RNAcentral lists this ribosomal RNA (327 nucleotides) under uncultured eukaryote. Its description in RNAcentral is "partial 18S ribosomal RNA". It matches the Rfam family "Eukaryotic small subunit ribosomal RNA", at positions 1470 to 1796 of the family's 1831-position model. The record is from RNAcentral.
CCCUUAGAUGUUCUGGGCCGCACGCGCGCUACACUGACUGGUUCAUCGAGCUUACAACCUUGACCGAUAGGUCUGGGUAAUCUUUUGAAAGCCAGUCGUGCUGGGGAUAGAUCAUUGCAAUUUUUGAUCUUCAACGAGGAAUUCCUAGUAAACGCGAGUCAUCAACUCGCAUUGAUUACGUCCCUGCCCUUUGUACACACCGCCCGUCGCUACUACCGAUUGAAUGGCUUAGUGAGCUCUGUGGACUGUUACGCACCGUUGGCAACUUCGGAGCGCGACGGGAAGCAGAUCAAACUUGAUCAUUUAGAGGAAGUAAAAGUCGUAACA